GUCUACGGCCAUACCACCCUGAACACGCCCGAUCUCGUCUGAUCUCGGAAGCUAAGCAGGGUCGGGCCUGGUUAGUACUUGGAUGGGAGAUAAUGAACUUAACGUGGUUUGGCGUUGCCG
Molecule: ribosomal RNA, 120 nt
Filed under: Neogale vison (American mink)
Lineage: Eukaryota; Metazoa; Chordata; Mammalia; Carnivora; Mustelidae
Source: RNAcentral